UCAGCUGCAGAAGAGGAGACGGGGGGGGAGGGGGGGGGGACACAGGAGAAGUUUCUUGAGUCCGGAGAGAGACGCGUGAAGGGCAUUGAGGGCACUUAAGGGCAGAGCUUGAUGAGUCAUCUCAACAACUCAAAGAGCGCCUGGGAUCGGACAAGACUAAGGCACCGAGCGGAUGGAGGCUGGCCACUCUGUACUCUGAGGCACCAUCUUUGUGGAAUUGGACUUUGACAGGAAUUAUGCUGGUCCAGGGCAUGGAGACAGGAGGGGAGGCUGUCUGGUAUUGAUAUUGUUGGAGGAAGAGUGAUGGAACCUCUAGAGAGAAGGGGACUAAUACUUAAACCUGAAAGCCGACUGUGGUGGUACACACCUUUAAUCCCAGCAGCCAGAUCUCUCUGAAUUCGAGGACAGCCUGCAUAGCAAGCUACACAAAACAGGUACAAGGCUACAUUCUAGAAAGCCUGUUGGUGAGUGGAGAUGAAGAUGUGGGCAGGGAGAGGAAGUGAUGGCUAUAGCUGCAAGCAGUAGAAAGGAAGAAACAGUAAAAAUGGAACUCACCUUCUCCAUGUUUUCCUCAUAUCCUGGUGUGGGCAAAAGAAAAGAUGGUGCCCCUGAACUCAGAAGUGCCCCAAGAGGCCCUACGGAUUUCACAGAGAUCCUUGGCAGCCAGAAGAGGACGCUGGAUUCCCUCCCCUCCAAACACUGGGGUUCCUCCGUCCCUCUUUUCUGCUGCCUAGAGAGGAUGGCUAAGAAAUCCACUGAGGCAAGAGGGAGAAAAGGGAAGGCAACUACACCUAGACUAAUCAGGACUGUGAAGCCUUCAAAGUGUGGAAGCCAGACCCGGGGCAGAAGGGCUGCUAACCGGGGGCGGCGGGGGGGGGGAGCCAUAUGCGUUUGUCUUGAGGUACCACAAAGGAAUGGGAGUGGCUGAUGUACAAAGGGGCUCGGGGAAGGCCUAGUGAGAAGAUUUUAGGGCUGCAACUGCAAUGAUUACCCGGAGGCCCGCCAGCUGCUCACCCGGACCUGGCCUCCACCUGUUUCCGCCCCUGCCUGGAGAGCUGGGAGGAGCUGAGAACAGUAACAACCCACAGCUCGGCUAGGGCUUGUUAGGGGAACCCCUGCCUCGCUUGCUGCGUUUGGAUCUGACCCCCCACCACGCACCCCAUUUGCCAGUUUCCUGCUUCCUCACUCCCACUUCUGCUUUUUCUGUACCCAGGCUCAGCCUUGGUUCCAGUGACUGUUCAUUCAGUCCUAUCUCCACCCUCCCGGGCUCCGAUCCCUAACCUGGGUGUCUGUACCCCCUCUCCCUUUCUGGGUUCCACCUGUGAGCCUGCUCAGUCCUGGCUUUGCAGGAGGCUUCUGCAAUCUCCAAGGGCCUCCGUGUUCUAACUACCACCAGCAUGAUUCUGCCUCUAAAACCUCUUCCCUCCAGCUCUGACAAGACUCCAGGCAUCUGUCCAGCCUCCUCCCCUGACCAACUGUCAACUCCCUCCAGCUUUUCCUGACUCCCUUUCUUAAACUACUUACUCAAGACUGGACUAUCUCCCUCCUUUAGCUCCCCUCUUCUCCCUCUUUUUCUUAAAAAAUAAAAUAAAAUUAUUUUAAAUCCGUCUCUCUUUUCUAUGUAGCCAUCUCUGGACUGGAACUCGCUCUGUGUACCAAACUGAACCUGAAUUUGCAGCAGUCCUCCUGCCUCUGCUUUCCCGGUGCCAAGACAGAAACUAUCUACGUUUCUGUCAGCGCUUCAGAGAGCAAAGCAUCGCUUCCACCUUUGCUAGGACGUCCACAGACCUCUUCUUUACCGACAACCCGGACCCCCGAAGGCGGCCGCCAUACCUCUCC
This is a long non-coding RNA of Meriones unguiculatus (Mongolian gerbil), 1839 nucleotides long. RefSeq lists it as uncharacterized. NCBI's taxonomy places the organism in Eukaryota, Metazoa, Chordata, Mammalia, Rodentia, Muridae. The transcript is spliced from 3 exons. The record is from RefSeq and is a predicted model, not a curated record.